GCUCGCUUUGGCGGCGUGUAUACAAAUUGGACUGAUCGAGAGGAGAUUAGCAUGGCCCCUGAUCAAAGGUGACACACAAAUUCAUGAAGUGUUCCAUAGGUUU
Molecule: small nuclear RNA, 103 nt
Filed under: Catagonus wagneri (Chacoan peccary)
Lineage: Eukaryota; Metazoa; Chordata; Mammalia; Artiodactyla; Tayassuidae
Source: RNAcentral